This 485-nucleotide ribosomal RNA is filed under the name uncultured bacterium. RNAcentral describes it as "bacterial SSU rRNA". It matches the Rfam family "Bacterial small subunit ribosomal RNA", at positions 28 to 507 of the family's 1533-position model. The record is from RNAcentral.
GAUGAACGCUAGCGGCAGGCCUAACACAUGCAAGUCGAACGGUAACAGGGAUUGCUUGCAAUCCGCUGACGAGUGGCGCACGGGUGCGUAACGCGUAUAGAACCUACCCUUUACAGGGGGAUAGCCCGGAGAAAUUCGGAUUAAUACCCCAUGGUAAUGCUUCGGGGCAUCCUGAAGUGUUUAAAGUUUCGGCGGUAAAGGAUGGCUACGCGUCUUAUUAGUUAGUAGGUGAGGUAACGGCUCACCUAGACAGCGAUAAGUAGGGGCCCUGAGAGGGGGAUCCCCACACUGGUACUGAGACACGGACCAGACUCCUACGGGAGGCAGCAGUGAGGAAUAUUGGACAAUGGUCGAGAGACUGAUCCAGCCAUGCCGCGUGCAGGAAGACGGCCCUAUGGGUUGUAAACUGCUUUUUUACGGGAAGAAUAAUGCCCACGUGUGGGCAGAUGACGGUACCGUAGGAAUAAGGACCGGCUAACUCCGUG